GAUGAAGAACGCAGCGAAAUGCGAUAAGUAAUGUGAAUUGCAGAAUUCAGUGAAUCAUCGAAUCUUUGAACGCACAUUGCGCCCUCUGGUAUUCCGGGGGGCAUGCCUGUUCGAGCGUCAUUAUAACCACUCAAGCUCUCGCUUGGUAUUGGGGUUCGCGGUUUCGCGGCCCCUAAAAUCAGUGGCGGUGCCUGUCGGCUCUACGCGUAGUAAUACUCCUCGCGAUUGAGUCCGGUAGGUCUACUUGCCAGCAACCCCUAAUUUUUUUAAGGUUGACCUCGGAUCAGGUAGGGAUACCCGCUGAACUUAAGCAUAUCAAUAAGCGGAGGA
RNAcentral lists this unclassified non-coding RNA (330 nucleotides) under soil metagenome. RNAcentral describes it as "partial contains 5.8S ribosomal RNA, internal transcribed spacer 2, and large subunit ribosomal RNA". The stretch from base 1 to 120 matches the Rfam family "5.8S ribosomal RNA", at positions 35 to 154 of the family's 154-position model. The record is from RNAcentral.